RNAcentral lists this unclassified non-coding RNA (213 nucleotides) under Hevea brasiliensis (rubber tree). The record is from RNAcentral. Lineage: Eukaryota; Viridiplantae; Streptophyta; Magnoliopsida; Malpighiales; Euphorbiaceae.
CUCAUGAUUUUUUCACCCGAAUUAUUCACCAUGUGCAGGGGACAACCAGAAACUUUUUCAGCAUCUUCCUGUAUUUCAGAACUAAAUGUGGAGUCUAAUCUACUCCAUAAUGAGAACUGGAAGUAGAGCAAUUGCUACUAGACAAACUUCUUUCCCAUGCUCCAAAACCAUUCAAGUUAUACAGAAUUCUUAUAGUUACAAUCAGUAUUGACA